UACAGAGGUCCCAAGCGUUGUUCGGAUUCACUGGGCGUAAAGGGUGCGUAGGUGGUUGGGCAAGUCUGAUGUGAAAUCUCCGGGCUUAACCCGGAAAUGGCAUUGGGAACUGCCUGGCUAGAGUGUUGGAGGGGGGACUGGAAUUCUCGGUGUGGCAGUGAAAUGCGUAGAUAUCGAGAGGAACACCAGUGGCGAAGGCGAGUCCCUGGACAACGACUGACACUGAGGCACGAAAGCUAGGGGAGCAAACAGG
Molecule: ribosomal RNA, 253 nt
Filed under: uncultured bacterium
Lineage: Bacteria
Description: partial 16S ribosomal RNA
Rfam family: Bacterial small subunit ribosomal RNA
Source: RNAcentral